GGUGAUCCAAAUAAUGAUACAACAACAACAUACCUAGUGUAUUCUCACAUAGUGGGGUUUGGAGGGGUAGUGUGUACGCAGACCAUACUACUACCUCGGAUGAAGUAGAGAGGUUGUUUUUGAUAGACUCUUGGCUUAGGACCGAUUACAGUAUACCAAACACAAAAGAUAAGUGCAUAUAAACUAGUACGGUACGCAAAAUAAACUAACAGUAUAACAAACACUAAAGAUAAGUAUAUAUAAACUAGUACAGUGUGCAAAAUAGCCACACGAUAAUACUACAGUCACAACACCACGAACAAGAAACUCCAGACAAAAGAACGCUCCUCUACUAUUACCGAUGCACUCCCACCUCCUAACCUUCUACCCUAAUCCGCGUCCUCCAUGCCUUUCUAUCAAAGGUCAUGUCCUCCGUAAGCAGUAACUGCUUCAUAUCAUACCUAAUCACCUCCCUCUAAUAUUUCUUUGGUCUACCUCUAUCCCGCCUAAAAUAAUCCAUAGUCAUUGCCUCACACCUCCGCACUGGAGCAUCAGAUCUCCUCCACAUUACGUGCCCGAACCAACGUAACCUCACUUCUCGCAUCUUGUCCUCCACCGAGGCAACUCCCGUCUUCUUUCAAAUAAUCUUAUUCCUCACUCUGUCUCUCCUGGUAUGUCGACACAUCCAUCGUAACAUUCUCAUCUCCGCCACCUUCAACUUGUGGAUGUGGGAGUUCUUAACUGGCCAAAACUCCACUCCAUACAACAUAUCCAGUUGGACUACCACUCUAUAGAACUUACCUUUAAGCUUCGGGGGCACCUUCUUAUCACAUAAAACUCUUGAAGCAGCUCUCAAAUUGGGCCUUCGGUGAUCCAAAUAAUGAGGCCGGUCUCAAAUUGAGAGGGAACAAUAUAUGGAUUUGGACCUAACUAACAUGAAUGCCAAAAAAAGGAAUUGUAGGACACCCUUCAAAUGGUGAAGAGAAUAGAGUGGCAAGCAAAUCAGUCAAUUUGGCGAACCUCAAAGAUAUCCUCUUAAGUUUCACUAAGGCGUAGAAGGAACUGAUAAGCAGAUGGAGACGCUGAAGAAGAAGAUGGAUGAGCUAGAAAACUGCUUAGUCUAGAAUACCUCUAAUGUCUCUAGGGGAAGCCAGCGUGGAACAUAUAAUACUGAGAAUGACAUAAAGAUGGAUAAACACAUCGAGGAGACAGAGGAAGAUGAGGUUAAGGCAGAGCCAGAAAUCCUGUCAAUGAUAGUGAAGAUAUUGAGAAAGGAGAUGAAGUUUCAUUAAUCGGAGCUUAAAUCCUAGAUAAACCACUCUUUGAAAAUUUCUGGGAAAUGCCUG
RNAcentral lists this long non-coding RNA (1325 nucleotides) under Capsicum annuum. Its description in RNAcentral is "long non-coding RNA (CANN_LNC013859)". The record is from RNAcentral. Lineage: Eukaryota; Viridiplantae; Streptophyta; Magnoliopsida; Solanales; Solanaceae.